UUAGAGUUUGAUCCUGGCUCAGGAUGAACGCUAGCGGCAGGCUUAACACAUGCAAGUCGAGGGGCAGCGAGAGUGAUAGCAAUAUUACUUGUCGGCGACCGGCGCACGGGUGCGUAACGCGUAUGCAACCUACCAUCAACAGGGGGAUAACACUGAGAAAUCGGUACUAAUACCCCAUAAUAUCUCAUGCGGCAUCGCAUGGGGUUGAAAACUCCGGUGGUUGAUGAUGGGCAUGCGUUGUAUUAGCUGGUUGGUGAGGUAACGGCUCACCAAGGCGACGAUACAUAGGGGGACUGAGAGGUUAACCCCCCACAUUGGUACUGAGACACGGACCAAACUCCUACGGGAGGCAGCAGUGAGGAAUAUUGGUCAAUGGACGCAAGUCUGAACCAGCCAUGCCGCGUGCAGGAUGACGGCUCUAUGAGUUGUAAACUGCUUUUGUACGAGGGUAAACCCCGAUACGUGUAUCGGGUUGAAAGUAUCGUACGAAUAAGGAUCGGCUAACUCCGUGCCAGCAGCCGCGGUAAUACGGAGGAUCCGAGCGUUAUCCGGAUUUAUUGGGUUUAAAGGGUGCGUAGGCGGUUUGAUAAGUUAGAGGUGAAAUGUCGGGGCUCAACCCCGAAACUGCCUCUAAUACUGUUGGACUAGAGAAUAGUUGCGGUAGGCGGAAUGUAUGGUGUAGCGGUGAAAUGCUUAGAGAUCAUACAGAACACCGAUUGCGAAGGCAGCUUACCAAACUAUAUCUGACGUUGAGGCACGAAAGCGUGGGUAGCAAACAGGAUUAGAUACCCUGGUAGUCCACGCAGUAAACGAUGAUAACUGGUGUCGGGCGAUACACAGUCGGGUGACUAAGCGAAAGCGGAUAAGUUUAUCCACCUGGGGAGUACGUUCGCAAGAAUGAAACUCAAAGGAAUUGACGGGGGGCCCGCACAAGCGGAGGAACAUGUGGUUUAAUUCGAUGAUACGCGAGGAACCUUACCCGGGCUUGAAAGUUAGCGACGACGCUUGAAAGAGCGUUUCCCUUCGGGGCGCGAAACUAGGUGCUGCAUGGUUGUAGUCAGCUCGUGCCGUGAGGUGUCGGGUUAAGUCCCAUAACGAGCGCAACCCCUACUGUUAGUUGCCAUCAGGUGAUGCUGGGCACUCUAGCGGGACUGCCGGUGUAAGCCGAGAGGAAGGUGGGGAUGACGUCAAAUCAGCACGGCCCUUACGUCCGGGGCCACACACGUGUUACAAUGGUAGGUACAGAGGGCAGCUACCCUGCGAAGGGGUGCGAAUCUCGAAAGCCUAUCUCAGUUCGGAUUGGAGGCUGAAACCCGCCUCCAUGAAGUUGGAUUCGCUAGUAAUCGCGCAUCAGCCAUGGCGCGGUGAAUACGUUCCCGGGCCUUGCACUCACCGCCCGUCA
Molecule: ribosomal RNA, 1402 nt
Filed under: uncultured bacterium
Lineage: Bacteria
Description: 16S ribosomal RNA
Rfam family: Bacterial small subunit ribosomal RNA
Source: RNAcentral